CGGGCCGCAGCUACACAUGCAAGUCGAGCGGUAGCACAGAGAGCUUGCUCUCGGGUGACGAGCGGCGGACGGGUGAGUAAUGUCUGGGAAACUGCCUGAUGGAGGGGGAUAACUACUGGAAACGGUAGCUAAUACCGCAUAACGUCGCAAGACCAAAGUGGGGGACCUUCGGGCCUCAUGCCAUCAGAUGUGCCCAGAUGGGAUUAGCUAGUAGGUGGGGUAACGGCUCACCUAGGCGACGAUCCCUAGCUGGUCUGAGAGGAUGACCAGCCACACUGGAACUGAGACACGGUCCAGACUCCUACGGGAGGCAGCAGUGGGGAAUAUUGCACAAUGGGCGCAAGCCUGAUGCAGCCAUGCCGCGUGUGUGAAGAAGGCCUUCGGGUUGUAAAGCACUUUCAGCGGGGAGGAAGGCGGUGAGGUUAAUAACCUUGUCGAUUGACGUUACCCGCAGAAGAAGCACCGGCUAACUCCGUGCCAGCAGCCGCGGUAAUACGGAGGGUGCAAGCGUUAAUCGGAAUUACUGGGCGUAAAGCGCACGCAGGCGGUCUGUCAAGUCGGAUGUGAAAUCCCCGGGCUCAACCUGGGAACUGCAUUCGAAACUGGCAGGCUAGAGUCUUGUAGAGGGGGGUAGAAUUCCAGGUGUAGCGGUGAAAUGCGUAGAGAUCUGGAGGAAUACCGGUGGCGAAGGCGGCCCCCUGGACAAAGACUGACGCUCAGGUGCGAAAGCGUGGGGAGCAAACAGGAUUAGAUACCCUGGUAGUCCACGCCGUAAACGAUGUCGAUUUGGAGGUUGUGCCCUUGAGGCGUGGCUUCCGGAGCUAACGCGUUAAAUCGACCGCCUGGGGAGUACGGCCGCAAGGUUAAAACUCAAAUGAAUUGACGGGGGCCCGCACAAGCGGUGGAGCAUGUGGUUUAAUUCGAUGCAACGCGAAGAACCUUACCUGGUCUUGACAUCCACAGAACUUUCCAGAGAUGGAUUGGUGCCUUCGGGAACUGUGAGACAGGUGCUGCAUGGCUGUCGUCAGCUCGUGUUGUGAAAUGUUGGGUUAAGUCCCGCAACGAGCGCAACCCUUAUCCUUUGUUGCCAGCGGUUAGGCCGGGAACUCAAAGGAGACUGCCAGUGAUAAACUGGAGGAAGGUGGGGAUGACGUCAAGUCAUCAUGGCCCUUACGACCAGGGCUACACACGUGCUACAAUGGCAUAUACAAAGAGAAGCGACCUCGCGAGAGCAAGCGGACCUCAUAAAGUAUGUCGUAGUCCGGAUUGGAGUCUGCAACUCGACUCCAUGAAGUCGGAAUCGCUAGUAAUCGUAGAUCAGAAUGCUACGGUGAAUACGUUCCCGGGCCUUGUACACACCGCCCGUCACACCAUGGGAGUGGGUUGCAAAAGAAGUAGGUAGCUUAACCUUCGGGAGGGCGCUACCACUUGGAUAA
RNAcentral lists this ribosomal RNA (1436 nucleotides) under Klebsiella sp. CCFM8381. Its description in RNAcentral is "bacterial SSU rRNA". It matches the Rfam family "Bacterial small subunit ribosomal RNA". Lineage: Bacteria; Pseudomonadati; Pseudomonadota; Gammaproteobacteria; Enterobacterales; Enterobacteriaceae. The record is from RNAcentral.